AGUGAACGCUGGCGGUAGGCCUAACACAUGCAAGUCGAACGGCAGCACAGUAAGAGCUUGCUCUUACGGGUGGCGAGUGGCGGACGGGUGGGGAAUACAUCGGAAUCUACUUUUUCGUGGGGGAUAACGUAGGGAAACUUACGCUAAUACCGCAUACGACCUACGGGUGAAAGCAGGGGAUCUUCGGACCUUGCGCGAUUGAAUGAGCCGAUGUCGGAUUAGCUAGUUGGCGGGGUAAAGGCCCACCAAGGCGACGAUCCGAAGCUGGUCUGAGAGGAUGAUCAGCCACACUGGAACUGAGACACGGUCCAGACUCCUACGGGAGGCAGCAGUGGGGAAUAUUGGACAAUGGGCGCAAGCCUGAUCCAGCCAUACCGCGUGGGUGAAGAAGGCCUUCGGGUUGUAAAGCCCUUUUGUUGGGAAAGAAAAGCAGCAGGUUAAUACCCCGCUGUUCUGACGGUACCCAAAGAAUAAGCACCGGCUAACUUCGUG
Molecule: ribosomal RNA, 492 nt
Filed under: uncultured bacterium
Lineage: Bacteria
Description: partial 16S ribosomal RNA
Rfam family: Bacterial small subunit ribosomal RNA
Source: RNAcentral